Dermochelys coriacea (leatherback sea turtle) is the source of this 1040-nucleotide long non-coding RNA. RefSeq lists it as uncharacterized. The transcript has 3 exons. NCBI's taxonomy places the organism in Eukaryota, Metazoa, Chordata, Testudines, Dermochelyidae. The record is from RefSeq and is a predicted model, not a curated record.
GGCCAGGGUGUAAAUGGCUUUUAAUGACUGCAGCUGCUGGCUGAAAACUGUCAAUGGAAUUGGCUAAUUCAGAGCUCCCGAAUCUUGCGAGCUCUUUGCAUAGUGCCGCUGAAUCCGGACGAGCUGAACUAGAGAGUUACUGUCGAGGGGAGAGAUACGAAGCCAUGAUCGCCAGCAGCAGGGAAAGCAAACAAGAGGACUGGGAAAGCAAACCCCUCUCUACUCGGAAAAUCCUUUCCGGAUCCUGCUUUUCUCCUCCGGCUCAGCCGCCCCAGUGGAAGAAAGGGCAGACGGGGAGCGGAGCGGCACGGCCCCCCGGGACGAGCAGUGACACUGGGCUCCAAACAGAAAGGCGAGAUACUUGCUACAAACUCCGAUCCUGCUUUUUCCCCUGACCCAGAACCGGCUCGUUUUUAUUCCUUUCUCGGCUUGCACCGCCUAGCCAGGCCAGCUGCAGUCGCGGAGGCUGGUGUUUCCCUCACUCUCACAGGAGACAAAAUAAAUCGGAGUCAGUUUCACGGUCCCUGAGAUUCAUCUACUCCAGAUUUACACCGGUGUAGCCUUAUUACCUUCAGUGAUAUCGCAGUAUUACUGCGAGUAGACUCGGGCCAAUAGCUGUGGGACUAGUUGCGUUGAACAUUAUAUGACUCUGUUUUCUGUCACGGUAGCUCAACGCCACACCAUGGGAGCAUAUAUCCUCAUCAGCUAGAUAAUUCACCAAUAGUGGAGACUGUGAAAACAUCUUUCCGCGGUAGCACAUUUAUACAUCGAGAGAAACCAUGUUUCCCCUUCCCGCUCUGAAGUUUGCAAAGCCACUACAGGAUGCAGUUAACAUGUUUAACUAUGCAGUCCCAUAAAUGCCCAAGUGAUAAAAAAGCCACAUUUUGUUUUUCAGCAUUGAGAGUGCCGCUUUUGUAGACCAAUGCACUACAUAAAGUAGAUGUAUUUGUGUUAUUACUAACAUUUUUUCCUUGUGCAUAAUCCCUUAUGCCUUUUAUUAUAAUCCUACAUAUUACAGUUAAUCUGUAAUGAUACUGCUU